Molecule: long non-coding RNA, 435 nt
Filed under: Carica papaya (papaya)
Lineage: Eukaryota; Viridiplantae; Streptophyta; Magnoliopsida; Brassicales; Caricaceae
Description: long non-coding RNA (CPAP_LNC001286)
Source: RNAcentral
CUUGUGUGCUCACAGGAAUCGAUGUAAAAUCGACCGAAGUCGGCCGAAAACAACCAAAAAUGACCAACUCGAGGAGGAUCACCGCCGAAGGCGACGGCGCCGUCGCCAGAGCACAGCGGAGCCACUGUGCUGGAUUUUUGAAAUUGGUCGAGUAAGCCCUGGGAUUCGUGUUUGGGUGUAUUUGGGAGAUUUUUAAGUACCAUAAACGCGUUUCAGUUCUCGAAAAAAAAUUCAAAGAACCUAGGGACCGCCCGUAAGCGUAGUAAAUCAGUUAACUUUUUGGCGUCAAAUCAAAUAAGAACCCCUCACCCUAUUUCCUAUCAUAGAUUUAAAGUUUGAAUGAAUAAUAAUAUGGUCUUUUAUACAAAUUAAAUAGAUGUGCAUAAUUAAUUACGGAUUGCUAAUGAAGACCAAACCGGACAUUGUUCUCUGCUG